CCCCUGUGCACCCAGGAAGAGGAACCAGGACUGAGGCUGAGAACCCCUGUGCACCCAGGAAGAGGAACCAGGACUGAGGCUGAGAACCCCUGUGCACUCAGGAAGAGGAACCAGGACUGAGGCUGAGAACCCCUGUGCACCCAGGAAGAGGAACCAGGACUGAGGCUGAGAACCCCUGUGCACCCAGGAAGAGGAACCAGGACUGAGGUUGAGAACCCCUGUGCACCCAGGAAGAGGAACCAGGACUGAGGCUGAGAACCCCUGUGCACCCAGGAAGAGGAACCAGGACUGAGGCUGAGAACCCCUGUGUACCCAGGAAGAGGAACCAGGACUGAGGUUGAGAACCCCUGUGCACCCAGGAAGAGGAACCAGGACUGAGGCUGAGAACCCCUGUGCACCCAGGAAGAGGAACCAGGACUGAGGCUGAGAACCCCUGUGCACCCAGGAAGAGGAACCAGGACUGAGGUUGAGAACCCCUGUGUACCCAGGAAGAGGAACCAGGACUGAGGCUGAGAACCCCUGUGCACCCAGGAAGAGGAACCAGGACUGAGGCUGAGAACCCCUGUGCACCCAGGAAGAGGAACCAGGACUGAGGCUGAGAACCCCUGUGCACCCAGGAAGAGGAACCAGGACUGAGGCUGAGAACCCCUGUGCACCCAGGAAGAGGAACCAGGACUGAGGCUGAGAACCCCUGUGCACCCAGGAAGAGGAACCAGGACUGAGGGUGAGAACCCCUGUGCACCCAGGAAGAGGAACCAGGACUGAGGGUGAGAACCCCUGUGCACCCAGGAAGAGGAACCAGGACUGAGGUUGAGAACUCCUGUGGUAGAAGAGGGUGUUGUUUACUCACAAGAGACA
Long non-coding RNA from Oncorhynchus keta (chum salmon), 858 nucleotides. RefSeq lists it as uncharacterized. NCBI's taxonomy places the organism in Eukaryota, Metazoa, Chordata, Actinopteri, Salmoniformes, Salmonidae. The record is from RefSeq and is a predicted model, not a curated record. The transcript is spliced from 3 exons.